RNAcentral lists this ribosomal RNA (410 nucleotides) under Latilactobacillus sakei. RNAcentral's name for it is "bacterial SSU rRNA". It matches the Rfam family "Bacterial small subunit ribosomal RNA", at positions 88 to 484 of the family's 1533-position model. The record is from RNAcentral. Lineage: Bacteria; Bacillati; Bacillota; Bacilli; Lactobacillales; Lactobacillaceae.
UGAGUGAGUGGCGGACGGGUGAGUAACACGUGGGUAACCUGCCCUAAAGUGGGGGAUAACAUUUGGAAACAGAUGCUAAUACCGCAUAAAACCUAACACCGCAUGGUGUAGGGUUGAAAGAUGGUUUCGGCUAUCACUUUAGGAUGGACCCGCGGUGCAUUAGUUAGUUGGUGAGGUAAAGGCUCACCAAGACCGUGAUGCAUAGCCGACCUGAGAGGGUAAUCGGCCACACUGGGACUGAGACACGGCCCAGACUCCUACGGGAGGCAGCAGUAGGGAAUCUUCCACAAUGGACGAAAGUCUGAUGGAGCAACGCCGCGUGAGUGAAGAAGGUUUUCGGAUCGUAAAACUCUGUUGUUGGAGAAGAAUGUAUCUGAUAGUAACUGAUCAGGUAGUGACGGUAUCCAACC